AUUGAACGCUGGCGGCAUGCUUUACACAUGCAAGUCGAACGGUAACAGGCCGCAAGGUGCUGACGAGUGGCGAACGGGUGAGUAAUGCAUCGGAACGUGCCCAGUCGUGGGGGAUAACUAUCCGAAAGGAUAGCUAAUACCGCAUACGAUCUGCGGAUGAAAGCGGGGGACCUUCGGGCCUCGCGCGAUUGGAGCGGCCGAUGUCAGAUUAGGUAGUUGGUGGGGUAAAGGCUCACCAAGCCAACGAUCUGUAGCUGGUCUGAGAGGACGACCAGCCCCACUGGGACUGAGACACGGCCCAGACUGCUACGGGAGGCAGCAGUGGGGAAUUUUGGACAAUGGGCGCAAGCCUGAUCCAGCAAUGCCGCGUGCAGGAAGAAGGCCUUCGGGUUGUAAACUGCUUUUGUACGGAACGAAACGGCUCUGGUUAAUACCUGGGGCUAAUGACGGUACCGUAAGAAUAAGCACCGGCUAACUACGUGCCAGCAGCCGCCGCCG
RNAcentral lists this ribosomal RNA (498 nucleotides) under uncultured bacterium. RNAcentral describes it as "partial 16S ribosomal RNA". It matches the Rfam family "Bacterial small subunit ribosomal RNA", at positions 30 to 523 of the family's 1533-position model. The record is from RNAcentral.